UCAAACUUGGUCAUUUAGAGGAAGUAAAAGUCGUAACAAGGUUUCCGUAGGUGAACCUGCGGAAGGAUCAUUACCGAGUGCGGGCCCUCUGGGUCCAACCUCCCAUCCGUGUCUCUUGUACCCUGUUGCUUCGGCGGGCCCGCCUUUUGGCCGCCGGGGGGCUUCCCGCCCCCGGGCCCGCGCCCGCCGGAGACUCCAACACGAACACUGUCUGAAGGUUGCCGUCUGAGUUUUCAUAUACGAAAAAUCGUUAAAACUUUCAACAACGGAUCUCUUGGUUCCGGCAUCGAUGAAGAACGCAGC
This 303-nucleotide unclassified non-coding RNA is filed under the name uncultured fungus. RNAcentral's name for it is "partial contains small subunit ribosomal RNA, internal transcribed spacer 1, and 5.8S ribosomal RNA". The stretch from base 1 to 73 matches the Rfam family "Eukaryotic small subunit ribosomal RNA", at positions 1759 to 1831 of the family's 1831-position model. Lineage: Eukaryota; Fungi. The record is from RNAcentral.